This 429-nucleotide ribosomal RNA is filed under the name Chloroflexota bacterium. Its description in RNAcentral is "Chloroflexi bacterium partial 16S ribosomal RNA". It matches the Rfam family "Bacterial small subunit ribosomal RNA", at positions 355 to 776 of the family's 1533-position model. Lineage: Bacteria; Bacillati; Chloroflexota. The record is from RNAcentral.
UGGGGAAUAUUGCACAAUGGGCGCAAGCCUGAUGCAGCCAUGCUGCGUGUGUGAAGAAGGCCUUCGGGUUGUAAAGCACUUUCAGCGGGGAGGAAGGCGGUGAGGUUAAUAACCUCAUCGAUUGACGUUACCCGCAGAAGAAGCACCGGCUAACUCCGUGCCAGCAGCCGCGGUAAUACGGAGGGUGCAAGCGUUAAUCGGAAUUACUGGGCGUAAAGCGCACGCAGGCGGUCUGUCAAGUCGGAUGUGAAAUCCCCGGGCUCAACCUGGGCACUGCAUUCGAAACUGGCAGGCUAGAGUCUUGUAGAGGGGGGUAGAAUUCCAGGUGUAGCGGUGAAAUGCGUAGAGAUCUGGCGGAAUACCGGUGGCGAAGGCGGCCCCCUGGACAAAGACUGACGCUCAGGUGCGAAAGCGUGGGGAGCAAACAGG